UGACUGAAUUUUAGCCCAUAGAUUGUGAACAGAAGCUAUGCACGUUACUUUGGAGAUGAGAUGAGUAAGAAGUGGGUACACCUUCUCUCCCCUUUAUGUCUUCCUGCUGAGGGCCAUGAAGCCUAGGAGAGGAAGGAACCCCAAGUUUAAAAGGAUAUGGAUCCUUGAAAUACUUCUUGGAGGACAGCUGCCUGCCAUUCUGAAAUGUUUGCGCCAGCUUCAUAUAACCAUGAUCCUGCCCUCCGGAAGUCAGAAAAGAAUGAAUAACUUUGAACACAUCACAGCAAUAAAAAUAUAAGAAUAAUGCUGGGGUCAUCACAAACAGAGGCAGAUGGUGGUGGCAUUUCCUUCUUGCCGGGAGCUCAGAUAUUAUCUGGAUAGAUUUCAGCAGGCUUUGUGUCCAUUCCCUCUCAGCGCGGGCAGCUUUCCUGGAUAGAGCCCCAGCCACCCAAACGGCAGACAGAUUUGAUUUAACUGCGAUGACUUGUGUAUCGGGUGACUUUGGAUGGUUUAAAACAAUGGCCUGUGGAAUCUACUUACACAGCACUAUGGGAAUGAGGAUGAAGGGUCAUAUCCAUGGUUAAUCCGAUCAAUUGUCUGCUACACACAGAGGUAUUUGUAGCCAUUGAUGAUAAUAUUGGCAAACGUCCUACAAGAACUUGGAGGUAUACUUACGCUCAAGUUAAAGAAGGAACAAGGAGUUUCAGGAGUUUCAGAAAAGCAAAGUAAGUUGGUCUAGGCUACCCAGGUUGUAAGUGUCAGGAGAGGAUUCAAAUUCCAUUUAUUUUUUUUUUUCCUUUUAAAUGUUGGCCCUGAACUAACAACAUCUGUUGCCAAUCUUUUUUUUUCCCUUCUUUUCCCCAAAGCCCCCCAGUACAUGGUUGUAUAUUCUAGUUGUGAGUGCCUCUGGUUGUGCUGUGUGGGAUGCCACCUCAGCAUGGCCUGAUGAGUGGUGCCACAUCCGUGCCCAGGAUCUGAACUGGCGAAACCCUGGGCUUCUGACAUGGAGCACACAGACUUAACCACUCAGCCAUGGGGCUGGCCAGUCAAACACCAUUUAAACUGUGCCCUUUUUCACUACAUUACUCUUAGAGUCAUGGGUAUUUAUUGAAUAAGAAAAUGAUGUGAAAUAAGUAUUUUAUAAAGAUUACCAUAGUGGCCAUAUAUGAGAAGGAUUACAGAGGGGAGAGACCAAAGGUAAGUAGAUGAAAAGGGUCUCCCUAGAGUCCUGUCAUUGGAAACAGAAAGGAAAGAACAAAAAUAAGAAACAUUGCCAGGCAAGAUCAUGGGACCUGGGGUGACUGAAGGUCUGAAUUACUGAAAGGCUGAGGAGAAUGAGGAUGGGGGAAAAAAGCCCAGGAAGACUGGGUGGUGAGAAGGCCACUGGCAACCUUGGGAACCCAUUUUCAGUAACAGGAUAUUGAUGGAAGCCAGCCUACAGGUGAGGAAGGAGUGAGUCAGUGGUUAGGAAAUGGAGGAUGUGGGGGCAGACCACAGAUUUGAGAAAUCUGGAAGAAAAUGAAGGAAAUAAAUAAAAGCCUUCUGAGGAGGUUUCAGGGUCAUGAAAAAUUUUUUUUGAAGAGGAGAAACCUGUGCACAUUUGAAGACAGAGGAUAGUAUGCAGAUAGGAGACAAUAUUAAAGGAACUAGAGAAAGAGGGGCUGCUGUACAUGGAAGGGGUCAAAGAAGUUGGGAGGGGAUGGGUCAGAAUUGGUGGACUGCCUGAUAGAACCUUCCAGAAUGAGGAGAAUGGUCUACAUCUGUGCUAUUCCAUAUGGUAGCCACUAGCCCCAUGUGGCAACUGAACACUUGAAAUGUUCCUAAUGAGACUGAGGAACUGAGUUUUUAAUUUUGCUUAAAUCUAAAUAGCCACAUAUUUCAGCAGCCAGUGGCUAUGAUGUUGGACAGUGCAUGACCCUUAGACAACCAAAGAUUUUGUCUCCUGAGGAAGGGAAAUAAGUUCUUCCUCUGACUCAGGAAAGGAGAGCAGAGAGGAAGACAAACCAAGGAUGUUUCAUAUGUAGGGGAGGAAAAAUGAGUUUACCCCUGCCAUGUGACCUUGAUAUUCAUUGGUUAUACCUUGGUGAUAGCACAUUAUCAGAUCAUUAGAUUAAGACAGCCCACCUGAGUUAAAAGGCAUUUGAAAUUCACAUCAUCCCCAUGUAGAUGUGUUCUGAACUGUAAUCUGCACUGACUAGAUGAAUUGAAGAAUUGCCAAAUCUCAUAUAGUUCUACCAAUACUCACCCUCAGUCUGUCUGCAGCUCUUGAUCAAGAUGCUCCUUGUUCAUGUUAGAGAGAGAUGGAGAGGAGUCUAGUAGGUUCCUUGGGAUGAGGACCAUUUUUUGAAUAGGCUUUCCAGGUGUCUGAGUGACAACAAAAUCCUUCUCUGAUUUCCUAGUCCCCGGUCUGCUUCCACAUCUCACGGUCAUUUUGGAUCUGGAUAUUUUAAAGCUGAAAGGAGGUGAUUCCCCUCAGAAUGGUUUCACUUAGUCAUAAUAAAAGUUUUCUUGAAGAAUUUCCCAGCCAGAGAAAGGGGUGUAUGUCCUGCCCUGUAUUCUCCAGGUAAACAAAGAGAGAGCCCCCAAUAGGUGUCCAUUGUUGCCGUAAGAUAUCAUCACCCAUCAUCAUUUCACCGGUAUGCCCGCCCUGGAUCGUGGCGUGUGUUGUUUGGGCUGUUUUUCAUAGCCUCUGCAGCUGGGAAUUCAAGAUGCUAUACUUAGGCAGAAGUCCAUGAAGGAAUUAAUUGAUAUGAGCCAGAAGUUGAUUGCCAUUUAAGUACUCAGCCUUCACCAUUGCCAAGUUUCCCUCUUUGCAGAAAGAACCGAGCUUGCCUGCAAACUGGCUCAUUCAGGAUGUGAGCACAAGAUGGAAUUCAACCUUUAAUAUGCUGCAACACCUGCUUGGAAAUAAAGGGGCUCUGUGCUUUUCCCCCCAAGGAGUUGACAGCUGACUUCAUUACAGAGGAAUCUGGCAGAGAUGGCCGUGGCUACUCCUCAGCCUCCGGAGGCACUCACCCAGGAAUGCAGUGCCAACCAGACCUGAGCUUUGGGAUUCUGCCAGAAACCCAUGCUGGGCCAUUUUACCCUAAAUCAUUCCUCUUCCUUGAACUCUAGGAGUUUUUCUACCUUUGGUAGAGCUGCCUCCAGACAAGGGAGAUGAGAAGAGGCUCUGGCCUGCUGACGCUAAGUGGAGAAGCAUUUGCAGGUGUUCUCCAAUGGGAUCUGGAUUUUCAAACUUUCUUUCUCAAGGGUUCUGCAAUGUUGCACCCCAACAGGCACAAAGGCAGGGCUGCCAUGCUCUACAGAGUGGAACUUGAAGAUUCAUCAGAGACCUUGUCCAAGAUUUGGAACAGACCCAGCGUUGUUCCAAGGAACCUAACCCAGCCUGUGAGAGACUCCUACAGGCCGUCUCUGGUGCCACAACCUUCCAUUGGGGCUGGAACACUGGUUAUGCUUAUGAGCUUUCAAAGUAGAAUGUCAACCUCAUCACCCAUUUGCAUGAUUUCCAAAGCAUAUUAAUCUGGCUUCCACUAGUAACACAGAAUAUAACAUAUCUUACUUGCAACAGGAAAUAUUUCCUUUCUACUAUUUGCUAUUCUUCAUCAUUAAAAAAAAUCUGUCUGAAAUCUAAAUACCCAGAAAGAGGGGUGGGCUCACAGGGAACACAACCAUUUGGUGGAUCACUGCUCAACCUGAAGCAACAGAAAUAUGAAGGCCACAGAGCAACUUCAAAACUGCAUUUGAUGCUAAUUUAAAACAAAGUACUACUCAAACUUUCAUAGAUGAAAAUCACAUAAUUUUUAAACAAAUACUUUAAAUAGUCUGAAAUGAGAAAUAAUUGAUGCCAAAGGUCAAAACUGGCAAUCCAAGAGUUGGGUCUGGCCCGAAAGUGUGUCUCAUAUGGCCCACACGGUGGGGGUCAGCUGAGUUUGAAUAAAAAACGGAGUAGGUUGCCAACAUUUAGAAAUUGGCACAUGGCACAUAACCACCCGGAUUGCUGCCUUCUCCUGAGACACUGGGCAAUCUGGCCUCGGCAGGCUGCUUUCCCUCCAGGCAACAGUUGGGGGCAGGUGAUGGGCAUUUGUCAUCCAGGUUGCCAGAGUCCCUGCUGGGCCAGAUUUCUCGCUCAUUGAGUUUGUAAGCCUGGCCCAGGUGCAAGGGUGGUAGGGUUCUGGGUCAUUUUCCCUCUCUCCCCUUCUUCCAAAACUUGCUCUUGGUUAUUAUGCUACUUCAGAGUUAAAAUAAUCAUUAAAUGCCCAGUUGUAAAAGGUAAUGUGGAGGAAGAGAGUCUGAGGCCCAUACUACUUCUCUACUUCUUGGAUGUUAUUUUCACAUUUCUAGCCUUACGCCCAGUGCACUCGCUUGAGAAUGUGAGCGUGGCCCCGUGGUUCUCGAACGUGGCUACACUAGAAUCACCUGGGGCACUUUUGAUGUCCAGCUUGCACUCCAGACCAAUUAAAUCAGACUCUUGGGAAGUGGGAUUCAGGCAACAGAUUUUUAAAGUUCCCAGGUGAUUCCAAUGUAAAAAGGUCCUUGAAAAAAUCAUGGAAAACUUUAUGUUAGAGCAGUUUCUCAAGCUCGUCACUAUUUUCAUUUGGGACCUGAUAAAUCUUAUUUCUGGGGACCAGUCCUAUGGACUGUAGGAUGUUUAGCAGCAUCUCUGGCCUCUACCCAUAGAUGCAGUAGCAUUUCUCCAGAUGAGAACCACGGCAUUCGAUAGUGAAACUAUGGUCAUUUUUUUUUUAAAGAUUUUAUUUUUUUCCUUUUUCUCCCCAAAGACCCCCGGUAGAUAGUUUCUUUGUUGUGGGUCCUUCCAGCUGUGGCAUGUGGGACGCCACCUCAGCGUGGCCUGAUGAGCAGUGCCAUGUCCGCGCCCAGGACUCGAACCAAUGAAACACUGGGCCGCCUGCAGUGGAGUGCGUGAACUUAACCACUCAGCCACGGGGCCAGCCCCCGAAACUGUGGUCAUUGUAUUGGCCACUUGCCUGUAUAUAAGGUCACUGAGAAAUUUCUCUUGGAAUUAAAAUCUAGGAACAAAAUUUUUCUCUUAAGAAAGUGGUUCCCUUUUGUUGUUUUUUUCCCCUUUACUAUCAGGAAGCUCAAAGCCAAUGCUAAAAUGCAUUCAAAACCAAAACUAAAGCAGAAACAAGACAACUACUCCAGUGUGUUUUCUCCCCUCUGCAUGUCUGCCUGAUGCUAAUUUUCCUAUUAACGUUUUGUUAAUCUUUAAGUUGCUUUACAUUCUUAGGGAAUAAAGUAGGAAAUAAAUAUAAAGAAGGUAACAAGCAAAAGGAGGGAAUGACUGUUCCAUGCACUGCUUGGUAUUUAUGACCCAAAGAACAGUUGGUCAUAAGGAAGACCUGCUAAAUUUGAAUGACCUCAUAGUUUUUGGAGGAUCAGCCAGGCAUACAUGGCAAAUAAGGGUCAACCCCUUUAGCCUCCAGCUUUGUCUGGGAAGAGGCUGAGCUAUGGGGGUGUUGAAGGAGCCCAAUGGCCACCAUGUGGUGGCCUCUAGGAGAAUAAGCACAAGCUUCUGUUGUUUCCUGAGAAUGCCACCUCCUGCUGUUUACUAGGAGUCUGGGAAGUGUCUGAGAGGCGAUGCUGUUCAGGGCAACCUGGGAUCCAGCCCUGGGAUAACACCAUCACCUGCUUUCCGUGAAUGAAGAGCAGAUUACUUUUAGUAAAUACAACCACUCAUUAAUAACCCUAAGUUUUAAAGCUUUUAAAGAAAUCAUUAUUAAGUGUGGCUACUUCAUUUUAAAUGCAAAAACCUUGAAUAGACCAGAGAUCUUAAUUUUUUUAAAGAAGCUGAGUAUUUUAAUUAUGAAUGUACUUGCAUAUUCUUAGCAUACUUCAUUAUUUAUGUAGCCGGUGAAAAAGCUUUCUAAUUAAAUAGCAUGCUGGCAAUCCAUUGUGAAAUGUAUAAAUGCAGGUUUUCCUAGCAUUAAAAAACUACACACAAACACACACGAACCAUUCUGGCAAGCACACAUCCUUUAAUCGCUAUGAGAUACUUGUUUCUGAAUGAUCUUAAGCUUUAUCAAACUUUUGUUUUAUUGGUAACAAAAUAAACAGUAUAAUUUGCCAGCACUCUGCAUGGUUAUACACAUUUAAUACAUUCAACUAACUUGGAAAUGGGGUAGCACAGUGGUUCUCAAAGUGCGGUCCCCAUGCCGGGAGCAUCAGCAUCACCUGGGAACUUAUUAGAAAUACAAAAUUUUGAACCCCACCCCCCGCCACCUGAAUCAGCAGUUCUGGGGAUUGGGCCCCACCCUGUCCUGUAACAAGCCCUCCAGGUGAUCCUGAGGCAGGCUAAAGUUUGGGAACCAUGGGGAUGAGGACUAUGCCUUGUGGUGC
Molecule: long non-coding RNA, 6357 nt
Filed under: Equus caballus (horse)
Lineage: Eukaryota; Metazoa; Chordata; Mammalia; Perissodactyla; Equidae
Description: lncRNA (ENSECAG00000029110.3)
Source: RNAcentral